RNAcentral lists this transfer RNA (75 nucleotides) under Salegentibacter mishustinae. RNAcentral's name for it is "tRNA-Arg". It matches the Rfam family "tRNA". Rfam says of the family: Transfer RNA (tRNA) molecules are approximately 80 nucleotides in length. Their secondary structure includes four short double-helical elements and three loops (D, anti-codon, and T loops). The record is from RNAcentral. Lineage: Bacteria; Pseudomonadati; Bacteroidota; Flavobacteriia; Flavobacteriales; Flavobacteriaceae.
GGUCGCGUAGCUCAGCUGGAUAGAGCACCUGCCUUCUAAGCAGGCGGUCCCAGGUUCGAAUCCUGGCGCGAUCAC